RNAcentral lists this ribosomal RNA (1156 nucleotides) under uncultured organism. RNAcentral describes it as "bacterial SSU rRNA". It matches the Rfam family "Bacterial small subunit ribosomal RNA", at positions 106 to 1294 of the family's 1533-position model. The record is from RNAcentral.
GUGAGUAACGCGUGAGAAUCUACCUCCGAGAUGGGGACAACCCGUUGGAAACGACGGCUAAUCCCCAAUAAGCCGAAAGGUGAAAGGGUUUCCGCUCGCAGAGGAGCUCGCGUCCGAUUAGUUAGUUGGUGGGGUAAGAGCCUACCAAGGCAGCGAUCGGUAGCUGGUCUGAGAGGAUGAGCAGCCACACUGGGACUGAGACACGGCCCAGACUCCUACGGGAGGCAGCAGUGGGGAAUUUUCCGCAAUGGGCGCAAGCCUGACGGAGCAACGCCGCGUGUGGGAAGAAGGCUCUUGGGCUGUCAACCACUUUUCUCAGGGAAGAAGUCCUGACGGUACCUGAGGAAUCAGCCUCGGCUAACUCCGUGCCAGCAGCCGCGGUAAUACGGAGGAGGCAAGCGUUAUCCGGAAUUAUUGGGCGUAAAGCGUCCGCAGGGGGCACUUCAAGUCUGCUGUCAAAGGUCGGAGCUUAACUCCGGUUCGGCAGUGGAAACUGGAGCGCUAGAGGGCGACAGGGGUAGAGGGAAUUCCCAGUGUAGCGGUGAAAUGCGUAGAGAUUGGGAAGAACACCGGUGGCGAAAGCGCUCUACUGGGUCGCACCUGACCCUCAGGGACGAAAGCUAAGGUAGCGAAAGGGAUUAGAUACCCCUGUAGUCUUAGCCGUAAACGAUGGAUACUAGGCGUGGUUUGUAUCGACCCAAGCCGUGCCGAAGCUAACGCGUUAAGUAUCCCGCCUGGGGAGUACGCACGUCAAGUGUGAAACUCAAAGGAAUUGACGGGGGCCCGCACAAGCGGUGGAGGAUGUGGUUUAAUUCGAUGCAACGUGAAGAACCUUACCAGGGCUUGUCAUCCCGAGAAUCUUGUUGAAAGGGGAGAGUGCCUUCAGGAGCGCGGAGACAGGUGGUGCAUGGCUGCCGUCAGCUCGUGUCGUGAGAUGUUGGGUUAAGUCCCGCAACGAGCGCAACCCUCGUCCUUAGUUGCCAGCAUUAAGUUGGGCACUAUAGGGAGACUGCCGGUGACAAACCGGAGGAAGGUGAGGAUGACGUCAAGUCAGCAUGCCCCUUAUGCUCUGGGCAACACACGUCCUACAAUGGUCGGGACAAAGGGGAGCAAGCUCGCGAGAGUAAGCGAAUCCCAGCAAGCUCGGCCUCAGUUC